Molecule: RNase P RNA, 364 nt
Filed under: Chloroflexota bacterium
Lineage: Bacteria; Bacillati; Chloroflexota
Description: RNase P RNA component class A
Rfam family: Bacterial RNase P class A
About the family: Ribonuclease P (RNase P) is a ubiquitous endoribonuclease, found in archaea, bacteria and eukarya as well as chloroplasts and mitochondria. Its best characterised activity is the generation of mature 5'-ends of tRNAs by cleaving the 5'-leader elements of precursor-tRNAs. Cellular RNase Ps are ribonucleoproteins.
Source: RNAcentral
CGAGACGGCCGGACGGUCGCGUGCCACACCGGGGAGACCCCAGACCGGCACGAGGAAAGUCCGAGCUCCGCGACGCAGGGUAGCGGGUAACUCCCGUCCGCCGAGAGGCGAGGACCAGCGCCACAGUGACGAACCGGCAGGUCGGCUUCGGUCGGCCGGGCCGGGUGAAACGGGCAAGCUCUACCUGGUGCAAGGCCAAAUAGGAGGGCCCCCGGGGCGUCCGCAAGGACGCCGCGGAAGGGGUGCGUCGCCCCGCCCUCGGGUCGGCCGCUAGAGGCGAUGGGCGACCGUCGACCGUAGAUGGAUGACCGUCCCCGUGGUUUCGACCACGGGACAGAACUCGGCUUACAGGCCGUCUCGCUGA